This is an unclassified non-coding RNA of Callithrix jacchus (white-tufted-ear marmoset), 116 nucleotides long. It matches the Rfam family "Metazoan signal recognition particle RNA". From Rfam's summary of the family: The signal recognition particle (SRP) is a universally conserved ribonucleoprotein. It is involved in the co-translational targeting of proteins to membranes. The eukaryotic SRP consists of a 300-nucleotide 7S RNA and six proteins: SRPs 72, 68, 54, 19, 14, and 9. The record is from Ensembl. NCBI's taxonomy places the organism in Eukaryota, Metazoa, Chordata, Mammalia, Primates, Cebidae.
GCUGGGCGUGGUGGCUCACACCUGUAAUCCAAGCACUUUGGAGGCCAAGGCAGGUGGAUCACCUGAGGUCGGGAGUUCAACACCAGCCUGACCAACAUGGUGAAACCCUGUCUUUA